This is a long non-coding RNA of Oncorhynchus tshawytscha (Chinook salmon), 573 nucleotides long. RefSeq lists it as uncharacterized. The transcript has 3 exons. Lineage: Eukaryota; Metazoa; Chordata; Actinopteri; Salmoniformes; Salmonidae. The record is from RefSeq and is a predicted model, not a curated record.
CCCAUUCACACCUGCGACAGCUAAGUAUGUUAAGGCUAAUUAAUACACCCAAGUCAUAGGCUAAAAAGUAGAACCACUGAAAUAUAAUAACAACGAGUGGGACAUACAAGCGUCGAAAAAAAUAUUGUCUAUGUUGUGAAAGAACAAGUGCAAGCGAAAGUACUGGUGGGACUUGAACUUGCACGACGUUUCCUCAACGGGGUCUGACACAGUGAUUAAGACUGGGGAGAGGUCGAGAGGCAGAGUCGCAUUGUUGGUGUUACACCAAUCAGAGGCAAGGCAGAGGUCAUGGGCAUGUCUGGAGGCAGGACACGCCCUACGUGGCAGAGAUGAUGGUCUCUAUCUGCUGCACCACCUGGGCCAAAAUCUCUCUGGUCAGAUUACCAACUCACAUCUUAUGAUGAUCCCAUUGUCUCAUUUUCUCUCAUCUCCUUCCAUUCUCAUCUUCUCCAGCUUUCAUCUUCUCCAAAUCUCAUUUUCCUCAUCCUUGGCCAAAAGAACCCAUAGUCCCUUCCCAGCAUGGUGGCUGGUGGCACUUUAAAUCGGAGGACAGGCUCAUAAUAAUGGCUGGAA